This 71-nucleotide transfer RNA is filed under the name Phytophthora infestans T30-4. Its description in RNAcentral is "tRNA-Pro for anticodon UGG". It matches the Rfam family "tRNA". Rfam says of the family: Transfer RNA (tRNA) molecules are approximately 80 nucleotides in length. Their secondary structure includes four short double-helical elements and three loops (D, anti-codon, and T loops). The record is from Rfam by way of RNAcentral. Lineage: Eukaryota; Oomycota; Peronosporomycetes; Peronosporales; Peronosporaceae.
CCGCUUUUAGCUCAUGGUUGAGCGCUGGAUUUGGAAGCCACAGGUCGGUGGUUCGAACCCACCAGGGCACA